CAUGCCGCGGGAAUACGAAGGGUGCAAGCGUUAAUCGGAAUUACUGGGCGUAAAGCGUGCGCAGGCGGUUAUAUAAGACAGAUGUGAAAUCCCCGGGCUCAACCUGGGAACUGCAUUUGUGACUGUAUAGCUAGAGUACGGCAGAGGGGGAUGGAAUUCCGCGUGUAGCAGUGAAAUGCGUAGAUAUGCGGAGGAACACCGAUGGCGAAGGCAAUCCCCUGGGCCUGUACUGACGCUCAUGCACGAAAGCGUGGGGAGCAAACAGGAUUAGAUACCCCCGUAGUCCCUGUCUCUUAUACAC
This 301-nucleotide ribosomal RNA is filed under the name uncultured bacterium. RNAcentral describes it as "partial 16S ribosomal RNA". It matches the Rfam family "Bacterial small subunit ribosomal RNA", at positions 512 to 809 of the family's 1533-position model. The record is from RNAcentral.